RNAcentral lists this long non-coding RNA (893 nucleotides) under Danio rerio (zebrafish). Its description in RNAcentral is "lncRNA si:ch211-225b10.1 (ENSDARG00000096696.3)". Lineage: Eukaryota; Metazoa; Chordata; Actinopteri; Cypriniformes; Danionidae. The record is from RNAcentral.
AGCCUGUUUCUGCCUAUCACCAUGAGUGAUUCCUCAAUACUCAGAUUUAUCAUCAAGAUCUCAAUUAUAAGCUCAAGUUUUGAUGACAACUUGGUGAUCUGCAGAAAGCCCCACCAUGUAAGGAAGGCCAAGACCACUCUGGAAUCAGUCAAGGGAUUGCAGUGACCAGACAUGCUACUGUAACUCUCAUGGUCAUGUGCUGGAAUUAGCAGAUAUUCAACAAUUUGGCCAUCUCGCUGACCUGUUGAUAUCAGAAGACCGCAACAGCUCUACAAAGCAAGUUGCAAAACAGAAUCCAUGAAACUGGCAGUGACUGGAAACCAAUUGGAAGACUUUGGUCUGUGAUGUAGAGGAGUGGGCAGAGGCAGAAGCAAAGACAACAAAAAACAGAAGUGAUAUGGAUGUCUUUGUCAUAUUGCAUGACUCUGCUGACCCAGCAACAAAGAGGAGGGUGUUCAACAUCAUCCUGCUGGUCAGGAUUCUUCAGGAGAAGCAGUGGAUUCUUGUGGCAGAGAUGUUCAACCACUAUAAAUACCUUUCAACUCAUCCUGGUUCUUUCAAAGAACUUUCUUGCUUGUUUGCUACUGAAAUGUACUGAUUCGACAUGUGCCCUUAACGAAGAGGGGUUAAAAGGUCUAUGGAUCAUCAUUCUCAAAAAGCAACAAAAUAACUGAGAAAUAAACAACAAUACGAUGGUGCAAUCUAGAGACCUGCAAGGUACCUGCAAGUUUUGGCUGGAGCAGAGAACAUAGAUUUUUUUUAAAUAAAGCUCCAGCUGAUGAGUAUGACAUUGACUGUGGAUGUUCUUUUACUGUAAUCCAGAAGAGGAUGACCUCAACCCUGAAUCUAAAGCAUGUAAUAAAAUCUGUAAAAAAUUAAAUAAAAUUGUCAUC